ACCACGAUCCACGAUCUCAAAAAGUCUGAAAACCCUGACGCAGCACCAUCCUCUUGCGCCGCCAGCACCAUCCAUCUUCUCCCUCUCAUCAAGCUGUGAGCAUCAACCACCAUCUCAUACUCCCAUCAAGCUGUGAGCAUCAACCAACGACUGCCCAGCACGGCCAUCCUCUACCUCCUGUCAAGAUUCAAGCAUCAAUAACCGGAGAAGUGAUGUCAUCUCAAGGUGGUGAUUUUUCCACUCCGAUUGGUAGUAGUCAAUCCGCUAUAGGAAUUAGUUGCUCACUAACUCCACUCGAUUCUCCUAUUGAGUCACCAAAUGAGUCACCUAUAAACACUUCUACUCAAGUUUGUGAAGAAACGACACAAGUUGGUGAUAAGAGAUUGAAAUCAAUUGUUUGACAAUAUUUUAAAAAGAUCAAAGUUGGUGAAUCUGAAAAAGCGGAAUGUAAUUAUUGUAAGAAAUUACUUGAAGAAGGAAGCAAGAAUGGAACAAGAUACUUGCAUGACCAUCAUAAAAUUUGCAAAAUGAGGCCUUUUAACAAUAUAAGACAAAAAACAUUAGUGCAACAACUAUGGAAGGCGGAUGGAAAAAUGUGUGUAAGCAAUUACACAUUUGACCAAGAAUCUUCAAGAAAGAAUCUUGCUAGUAUGAUAGUAAUGCAUGAAUACCCACUUUCAAUAGUUGAACAUUAUGGGUUCAAAAAAUAUUCGGCAAAUCUUCAACCAAUGUUCAAAAUUCCUUCUCGGAACACAAUAAUAAAAUGAUAUCAUGAAGAUAUAUGCUAAUGAAAAAUCCAAGAUAAUGAAUAUUUUGAAUAAGAAUUUAAGUAGGGUUGCAAUAACUACCGACAUGUGGACGGCUUCAAAUCAAAAGAAAGGAUUCAUGGCUAUCACGGGACAUUUUAUUGACAACAAUUGGAAUUUGCAAAGUUUGGUUUUGAGGUUUGUUUAUGUGCCUUGUCCACAUACAUCGGUCGCUCUCUCUAAAGAAUUGUUAAAAUGCAUAUUUGAUUGGAACAUGGAAAGAAAGUUGUCCGCUUUGACGGUUGAUAAUUGCACUACUAAUGAUGUUAUGGUUGACAUCCUAGUGUCUAAGCUCAAUCCUAAUCAUCUCUUGUUGCAUGGAAAAUUGAUUAAUAUGCGUUAUUGUGCACAUAUUUUGAAUUUAAUUGUUCAAGAUGGGUUAAAGAUUAUGGGUGAUGGAAUAGAGAGGGUUAAAGAUAGUGUUUCUUUUUGGACGGCCAUACCAAAAAGGCUACAAACUUUCAAGGAAAAUGUGCAAAUUUUGAACAUAAAUUAUUCCAAACAAUUGCUGCUUGAUUGUAAGACUCGAUGGAAUUCUACAUAUUUGAUGCUUAGUGUUGCUUUGGAAUAUAAAGAUUUUUUUUUAUCGUUUGCAACAAACGGACCCACAUUUUAUUUCUACACCAACUCAAGAAGAUUGGAUGCUAGCCAAGGAGAUUUGUAAAAAGUUGCAUGUGUUUUAUAUCGCUUCAAAUGCAUUUUCGGGAAGAAAAUAUCCCACAUCCAAUGUUUUCUUUCCAUUGAUGUGUGAGAUUAAAGUUUGUUUGAGCACUUGGGUUAAAUCUCCUAUUGAAACUAUUAGAAAUAUGGCCACAAGCAUGUCAAUAAAAUUUGAUAAAUAUUGGGAAACGGUUCAUGGAAUCAUGGGAGUAGCUACUAUACUUGAUCCAAGGUAUAAGUUGAAAUCAAUGGAAUAUUUUUUUCCUCGUCUUUAUGGGCAUUCAGCCGAUUAUGAAAUUCAAAGGAUUACAAGUUAUUGUUAUGACUUGUUACAUGAAUAUGAAAGUUCUACACAAAUUGGCAAAAUUACCCGACAAACUUCAUGCAACGAGCCAAAGGAGAAUGAUAUUAUUAAUUCAAGCUUUCUUGAUGGUUUUGAUUCCUAUGUGAGUGAUUCAAAUAAAAAUAUAUUGAAGUCGGAGUUAGAUCAUUAUUUGGAGGAAAAAGUCUUGCCAAGAACUCCGGAUUUUGACAUUUUAGCUUGGUGAAAAAGUUGUGGACUCCGUUAUCCGAUUUUACAAAUGAUCGCUAAAGACAUCUUGGCUAUUCCAAUUUCUACUGUGGCUUCAGAAUCUGCUUUUAGUACUGGUGGUAGAUUGGUGAGUCCUCAUCGUACUAGGCUUCAUGCGAAUACUUUGGAGGCAUUGAUGUGUACUCAAAAUUGGUUGUUGAAAGAUAUUGAAGGUGACUGUUCCAAAAAAGAAUAUGCAUAUGGAACUAUUAAUGAAGAUGUUGAGAGUGAAGAAGAGUUGGAAUAAAAAAAGGUGCUUGCAUUGCAGCUGAAGAUGAAUGUUCAUUGAAAAGAUUUGGAUUUGAUGAUAUAUAAGAUGAAAGCUUAUUUUGUUGUGGAUAAGAAGUACCAGUGCAUUUGAUGAAGAGAUUUGCAUUUAAUGAUAUAUAUUAGAUUUUGAUUUGAUGAUGAAUGUUCAUUGAAGUUA
Dioscorea cayenensis subsp. rotundata (Guinea yam) is the source of this 2464-nucleotide long non-coding RNA. RefSeq lists it as uncharacterized. The transcript has 5 exons. The record is from RefSeq and is a predicted model, not a curated record. Lineage: Eukaryota; Viridiplantae; Streptophyta; Magnoliopsida; Dioscoreales; Dioscoreaceae.